CUGGCAAAGGCUCUUCCAGAGCGUGUG
RNAcentral lists this non-coding RNA (27 nucleotides) under Mus musculus (house mouse). Lineage: Eukaryota; Metazoa; Chordata; Mammalia; Rodentia; Muridae. The record is from RNAcentral.